Molecule: unclassified non-coding RNA, 505 nt
Filed under: Trichoderma harzianum
Lineage: Eukaryota; Fungi; Ascomycota; Sordariomycetes; Hypocreales; Hypocreaceae
Description: partial contains 18S rRNA, ITS1, 5.8S rRNA, ITS2 and 28S RNA
Rfam family: 5.8S ribosomal RNA (bases 176-329)
Source: RNAcentral
UGUGAACGUUACCAAACUGUUGCCUCGGCGGGAUCUCUGCCCCGGGUGCGUCGCAGCCCCGGACCAAGGCGCCCGCCGGAGGACCAACCAAAACUCUUUUUGUAUACCCCCUCGCGGGUUUUUUAUAAUCUGAGCCUUCUCGGCGCCUCUCGUAGGCGUUUCGAAAAUGAAUCAAAACUUUCAACAACGGAUCUCUUGGUUCUGGCAUCGAUGAAAAACGCACCGAAAUGCGAUAAGUAAUGUGAAUUGCAGAAUUCAGUGAAUCAUCGAAUCUUUGAACGCACAUUGCGCCCGCCAGUAUUCUGGCGGGCAUGCCUGUCCGAGCGUCAUUUCAACCCUCGAACCCCUCCGGGGGGUCGGCGUUGGGGAUCGGCCCUCCCUUAUCGGGUGGCCGUCUCCUAAAUACAGUGGCGGUCUCGCCGCACCCUCUCCUGCGCAGUAGUUUGCACACUCGCAUCGGGAGCGCGGCGCGUCCACAGCCGUUAAACACCCAACUUCUGAAAUG